Molecule: ribosomal RNA, 242 nt
Filed under: uncultured bacterium
Lineage: Bacteria
Description: partial 16S ribosomal RNA
Rfam family: Bacterial small subunit ribosomal RNA
Source: RNAcentral
AAUCAACGCUGGCGGCGUGCCUAACACAUGCAAGUCGAACGCGACUGGGGCUUCGGCCUCAGUUGAGUGGCGAACGGGUGAGUAACACGUGGGUGACCUACCUUCGAAUGGGGGAUAACGUCCCGAAAGGGACGCUAAUACCGCAUAACAUCCUGCCUUUGAACAGGCGGAGAUCAAAGCCGGGGAUCGCAAGACCUGGCGUUUGAAGAGGGGCCUGCGUCCGAUUAGCUAGUUGGGGAGGU